GACGAACGCUGGCGGCGUGCUUAACACAUGCAAGUCGAACGCUGAAGCUUGGUGCUUGCACUGGGUGGAUGAGUGGCGAACGGGUGAGUAAUACGUGAGUAACCUGCCCUUGACUCUGGGAUAAGCCUGGGAAACUGGGUCUAAUACUGGAUACGACAUGUCACCGCAUGGUGGUGUGUGGAAAGGGUUUUACUGGUUUUGGAUGGGCUCACGGCCUAUCAGCUUGUUGGUGGGGUAAUGGCUCACCAAGGCGACGACGGGUAGCCGGCCUGAGAGGGUGACCGGCCACACUGGGACUGAGACACGGCCCAGACUCCUACGGGAGGCAGCAGUGGGGAAUAUUGCACAAUGGGCGGAAGCCUGAUGCAGCGACGCCGCGUGAGGGAUGACGGCCUUCGGGUUGUAAACCUCUUUCAGCACGGAAGAAGCGAAAGUGACCGUACGUGCAGAAGAAGCGCCGGCUAACUACGUG
This 472-nucleotide ribosomal RNA is filed under the name uncultured bacterium. RNAcentral's name for it is "partial 16S ribosomal RNA". It matches the Rfam family "Bacterial small subunit ribosomal RNA", at positions 28 to 507 of the family's 1533-position model. The record is from RNAcentral.